AGCGGGAUAGAGGAGUCAGGAGUCCUCACUGGGCCCAUAACCCAGAGAUCGUGUGGUUCAAAUCCCACUCCCGCUA
RNAcentral lists this transfer RNA (76 nucleotides) under Candidatus Pacearchaeota archaeon. RNAcentral describes it as "tRNA-Met". It matches the Rfam family "tRNA". Rfam says of the family: Transfer RNA (tRNA) molecules are approximately 80 nucleotides in length. Their secondary structure includes four short double-helical elements and three loops (D, anti-codon, and T loops). Lineage: Archaea; Nanobdellati. The record is from RNAcentral.